RNAcentral lists this transfer RNA (77 nucleotides) under Methanobacterium sp. PtaU1.Bin097. RNAcentral describes it as "tRNA-Glu". It matches the Rfam family "tRNA". Rfam says of the family: Transfer RNA (tRNA) molecules are approximately 80 nucleotides in length. The record is from RNAcentral. Lineage: Archaea; Methanobacteriati; Methanobacteriota; Methanobacteria; Methanobacteriales; Methanobacteriaceae.
UGCUCCGUUAGUGUAGUCCGGCCAAUCAUUCCAGCCUCUCGAGCUGGGGACUCGGGUUCGAAUCCCGGACGGAGCAU